GACGAACCAUCCAAACGUUAUUCGGAAUCACUGGGCUUAAAGGGUGCGUAGGCGGCUCGGUAAGUUGGGUGUGAAAUACCUCAGCCUAACUGAGGAACUGCGCCCAAAACUGUCGGGCUCGAGGAAGACAUAGGUGAGCGGAACUUAGGGUGGAGCGGUGAAAUGCGUUGAUAUCCUAAGGAACACCAGUAGCGAAAGCGGCUCACUGGGUCUUAUCUGACGCUGAUGCACGAAAGCCAGGGGAGCGAAC
RNAcentral lists this ribosomal RNA (250 nucleotides) under uncultured bacterium. RNAcentral describes it as "partial 16S ribosomal RNA". It matches the Rfam family "Bacterial small subunit ribosomal RNA", at positions 524 to 773 of the family's 1533-position model. The record is from RNAcentral.